CUGCUCGCUUUGGCAGCACAUACACUAAAAUUGGAACAAUACAGAGAAGAUUAGCAUGGCCUCUGUGCAAGGGUGACACACAAAUUCGUGAAGUGUUCCAUAUUUUU
Molecule: small nuclear RNA, 107 nt
Organism: Oryctolagus cuniculus (rabbit)
Lineage: Eukaryota; Metazoa; Chordata; Mammalia; Lagomorpha; Leporidae
Source: Ensembl